This is a long non-coding RNA of Mangifera indica (mango), 2053 nucleotides long. RefSeq lists it as uncharacterized. Lineage: Eukaryota; Viridiplantae; Streptophyta; Magnoliopsida; Sapindales; Anacardiaceae. The record is from RefSeq and is a predicted model, not a curated record. The transcript has 6 exons.
AAAUAGGCUGCCGUGCGAAGGUAAACUCAUACCUUUCUCGGCCUUUUGGCUAAGAUCAAGUGUAGUAUCUGUUCUUAUCAGUUUAAUAUCUGAUACGUGGGACAAUGUCCCACAUGAUAUUAAAUUAGUUUUUUGAGGGGGAGGGUUCACAACAGUGGCUUGCCACAGGAACCCUCGACCGUCGCCCUUGCGCUGCACUACAGCUUGGGCCAGGCGCACCCCGUCAAAUCUAGUUUAAGUGUUGAGAGCUGUCGGCAGUGGGUGAACAAGGUUUAUGCGAAUCCUCACUUUGAUGGUCGAAGACAAAGAUUACAGACGAUUACCAAGUGGUUCGGCUGCCUUACAAGAUAAAGAGAUUUGUUUUUUUGCAGUUCAAAUCGGUAAGGAAUAUGUUGAAACCUGCUCCACCGUGUACUUGAUUUUGAACUCCUUCCUGGUACCUAUUGCUGCCGCUGUUACACUAUUUGAAGCUAUAUGCUUUUGCGGAGUAGAAAGGGUGAUUGCUUCGAAAGGAAAAGAAACUACAAACUGGAAGAUACAUCAGAUGUUGUUUUACUGUUCCUGUGUCACCGUAGCUGGUGUGGUGGGUGGAUUACUUGGGCUAGGAGUGUUUUACUGUUCCUAUUGCUUCCCAAUGGAGGUUCCUCUAGUGAUCAUGUCAUGUGAGAUUCCAAUGUUGGCCAUUUAAGAUAGUUGGGAAAUACAAGAAUACUUACAACCAGAAAAUGGAUUAAAAGGCCCUACAAAGGCAUUUUUAGUGUAGUCAAAAGUGUUAAGAGGAGCUUAGUGCUGCUUGAUAGGUGGCUGUGGCAGUAAAAAUUGUCACCACAAGUAGUACGUUUCGGACUUCAAGAGGAGUUUUAUUUAUGCUUAGGUACCAUUUGUGACUACUCCCUUAUACGCAGUUGCAAGGGAGGGAAAGACCCAUUUUGCCAAGGAAAUACUAAACUCAAAGCCUUCAUUUGCUUGGAAGUGAGACCAUCUUGAGCAUAGCCCCUCCAUUUGGCUUUGGAAGGGAACAGCAGCUGCAGGAAGGGCUUAAUUAGUCCCCGUGCUCUGGAUUUGGAGAGGAAGUAUCAGGAACUUGUAACAUUGUUGAUGAAACAUGAUAGUGAGCUUGUUCGUGUUAAAGCUAAGAGGACGCUUACUCCUUUGCACUAUGCAGCUCAACUAAACGAUGAAUCCAAUAUGACAGACUUUUCGCAUGUUUAUUCAUUAUCAAUUGAAGAAACUGUUAAAUCUGAAACUGCUGUCCAUGUCGCCCUCAAAAAUGGGAGUUUGAAAGCCUUUAAAGUCUUGCUAGGAUGGCUUUGCUACUUCAACAAAGAAGAGAUCCUGAACUGGGAGCACUAGGAAGGAAAGAAUGCAUUGCAUACUGCAGUAUCUGCAAAUCAACCUGAGGCAGUGAAGCUGUUGAUUGGAUGUAUGGAAGUGAGUAAUAAGAACAGUAAAGGUUUGACAGCUUUUGACAUCUUCUAUGGUCGCCAAGGUUUGCUAGAUGCUGCUGGUAGGGACAUUCUACUUGCUGCUAAAGCUAAAACAGCAUCUCAACUCUAUAGUUUGCUUAUGAGACUUCCAAAAUUAUUAUUUAUUUAUUUGGUUUGUUUUUCGAAGGAAUUUUGAAAGAUUCCGACUGGAUUACCUACGCAUAAAUAAAGCUCCUUUUGAAGUCCGGAACAUACUACUUGUGAUGGUAAUUUUGACUGUCAUAGCCACCGAUCAAGUUGCACUAAGCUUCUCUUGAAACUUUUGACCAUACUGAAAGGGCCUUCGUAGGGGCUUUGUUUAUCCAUUUUUUGGUUGAAAGUACCCAACUAUCUUAUCUCGCCGACAUUGGAAUCUCAGAUGACAUGGUAUGCUGGAGGAACCUGCAUUUGGGAAGCAAUAGGAACAAUAAAACACUCCUCUUAGCCCAGGUAAUUCACCCACCACACCAGUUACUAUCCCAUAGGAACAGUAAAACAUCUGAUGUAUGUAUUUUGAGGAAGAAUACAAAUUGACUGUUGAACUGAAAUUUGAAAUAAAUGUGAAUCUCAGAAGAUAGUUUAUUAAA